Molecule: long non-coding RNA, 383 nt
Organism: Solanum dulcamara
Lineage: Eukaryota; Viridiplantae; Streptophyta; Magnoliopsida; Solanales; Solanaceae
Exons: 3
Source: RefSeq, a predicted model, not a curated record
GAUGCCUUGAGAAAAUUCUAAGCGAUCUCAUCAUUCGAGGAUUAAUGAUCCCAAAGUGCUACAUGGGAAGCGAAAACGGAUAUGAUGAAACGUUGCCCUCAUCUCUUUUAUUCUACUCAAGCCUAAGGGAUCGGUGUUGCUCCACACUAUCCUUCCCGUGGCUAAGUUUGAUCGUUGAAGGCUACUACUAUUUUGGGUUCGAAGAUCACAUCCAUUCUCCACGUGGCUAGUUGAGUUCCUAUACGUCGAAGAUUGGUGAAUCCUCAUCUAUUCGAGGGCGAGUUAUGAGUUUACUUCUUUCAAAAAUACUUUUGUUGUUUUACAUUGAGGGUGAGAUAGGGACAUGUCUUAUCUCCAGCCUAUAUUGAUUAGUAGAGGUUUGU